Molecule: long non-coding RNA, 1218 nt
Filed under: Triticum aestivum (bread wheat)
Lineage: Eukaryota; Viridiplantae; Streptophyta; Magnoliopsida; Poales; Poaceae
Description: long non-coding RNA (TAES_LNC020178)
Source: RNAcentral
UGAACUGAACUGAAUUUUAUUGGGGCUUUUCCAUGAACCGCAAGCUAUUCUUUUAUUCGCCUGAGAAAAUUACAGUGAUGUUGUCUACACAACACAGAUUACUCUUCCACCCUGAUCAGCUCCUACAUUACAAUGAGCUAAAUGGCACAAAUGCAUCUAUUUAACUAUUACAACACUUCGAGUACAACGGAAGGAUGGCUCAAUAACUAAUCAAUGCAGGAAACUACUAUCACAAUAUAUUGAAAAUCAUCACCAGGCUGAAUCUGUAUUAUUGGUUGGACUAUACAAAACGUGAAACAUGGUUGGUCUACUGUAAUUGAACGACUAGGAUUCCAACCAUUGUGUGGGAUGAAUGAUACAAUUUUGUGGUAGGUAAGACUUUACUUAACAUGACGAAAGAGCUUAGGGAACUGAAAAAAAAAUAGUAACUUUAGAAAAACUGAAAAAGACCUCCACGCCAAAAAUAACCUCUCCAACCUGUAUGCAAAGUUGCAAACAAUAUUGAUUUGAUAUGAACUGAAACAAAAACGGGAAUCAAGAGAAGUCAAGAAGUGCAUACGGGACCAUGCUUAAACUCUGUCAGGGGUUCGAUCUUAAGUCAGUCCUGCUAAACGUCCUGCACACACAAACAUACAAAAAAUCAAGCUAAGAAGGACGGCGUGGUUGAUUUAGUCUAGCUGAAAUUGACGCACCAAAAAUGGCACACGCCAAAUUGAGCAGUAGUUCUACUACUGCAUAAUGCAAGGUUUAAUAUAAAUGGACCAGAUUUAUUUAAGCCCUGUCAUACAAAUCACACAGGUCCAGUAUACGUUUACAGAGAAAAAUCUUUGAUAUGUGUACAUGUAAUGUCGCCUCAUUUCUGAAAGCACAAACCCACCCUAACUUUUCACAUGAACAAAAUGCAGAUUUUCUCUUCCUUGAAGAUAUUACAUGACUCGGCAUCUUCUUGUAGGGAAGGGGGAAAGUAAAGAAAGAAGAAAAUAGCACAGGCAAUUGCUCACAAGACUACACUCACCUUCAAAUGAUCUCAAACAAGAAAAAUUUGCAAGAGGCGUGAAGGGGGAGAAGGAUUGAGAGAAGCUCACCUUGACAUCAUCCGAGCUCCUCCGUGCGCACCAUCUUCAGCCGUCGGGACUUCACCUUCCCUGCCGCUCCAUGAGGAUUCUGCUCCUUCCUUGUCGCCAGUCUCUCCUCCACCCCGUGAGGCGUCCGCCGCCU